RNAcentral lists this ribosomal RNA (527 nucleotides) under Enterococcus faecium. RNAcentral describes it as "bacterial SSU rRNA". It matches the Rfam family "Bacterial small subunit ribosomal RNA", at positions 798 to 1325 of the family's 1533-position model. The record is from RNAcentral. Lineage: Bacteria; Bacillati; Bacillota; Bacilli; Lactobacillales; Enterococcaceae.
CGCCGUAAACGAUGAGUGCUAAGUGUUGGAGGGUUUCCGCCCUUCAGUGCUGCAGCUAACGCAUUAAGCACUCCGCCUGGGGAGUACGACCGCAAGGUUGAAACUCAAAGGAAUUGACGGGGGCCCGCACAAGCGGUGGAGCAUGUGGUUUAAUUCGAAGCAACGCGAAGAACCUUACCAGGUCUUGACAUCCUUUGACCACUCUAGAGAUAGAGCUUCCCCUUCGGGGGCAAAGUGACAGGUGGUGCAUGGUUGUCGUCAGCUCGUGUCGUGAGAUGUUGGGUUAAGUCCCGCAACGAGCGCAACCCUUAUUGUUAGUUGCCAUCAUUNAGUUGGGCACUCUAGCAAGACUGCCGGUGACAAACCGGAGGAAGGUGGGGAUGACGUCAAAUCAUCAUGCCCCUUAUGACCUGGGCUACACACGUGCUACAAUGGGAAGUACAACGAGUUGCGAAGUCGCGAGGCUAAGCUAAUCUCUUAAAGCUUCUCUCAGUUCGGAUUGCAGGCUGCAACUCGCCUGCAUGAAG